This 366-nucleotide ribosomal RNA is filed under the name uncultured eukaryote. RNAcentral's name for it is "partial 18S ribosomal RNA". It matches the Rfam family "Eukaryotic small subunit ribosomal RNA", at positions 592 to 976 of the family's 1831-position model. The record is from RNAcentral.
CAAUAGCGUAUAUUAACGUUGUUGCAGUUAAAAAGCUCGUAGUUGGAUUUCUGGAGGUAGCGUCGGCCCGUAUUUACGAGUGCGUGACGUCUCUGUCCAUCCUUGCGGGAAGGCACGGCAUUGAUUUGUUGUGUCGGAUCGCAUCAUUUACUGUGAAAAAAUUAGAGUGUUCAAAGCAGGCUUUCGCUUGAAUACAUUAGCAUGGAAUAAUAAGAUAGGACUUUGGUGCUAUUUUGUUGGUUGAGCCUAAAGUAAUGAUUAAUAGGGAUAGUUGGGGGCACCUGUAUUGCGUUGUCAGAGGUGAAAUUCUUGGAUUUACGCAAGACAAACAGCUGCGAAAGCGUCUGCCAAGGAUGUUUUCAUUAA